RNAcentral lists this ribosomal RNA (253 nucleotides) under uncultured bacterium. RNAcentral's name for it is "partial 16S ribosomal RNA". It matches the Rfam family "Bacterial small subunit ribosomal RNA", at positions 524 to 776 of the family's 1533-position model. The record is from RNAcentral.
UACGAAGGGGGCUAGCGUUGUUCGGAAUUACUGGGCGUAAAGCGUGCGCAGGCGGCUUCUCAAGUCAGGGGUGAAAGCCCAGAGCUCAACUCUGGAAUUGCCUUUGAGACUGAGUGGCUUGAGUACGAGAGAGGUGAGUGGAAUUCCCAGUGUAGAGGUGAAAUGCGUAGAUAUCAGGAGGAACACCGGUGGCGAAGGCGGGUCUCUGGGCCGAUACUGACGCUGAGGAGCGAAAGCGUGGGGAGCGAACAGG